AGCGAACGCUGGCGGUAGGCCUAACACAUGCAAGUCGAACGGCAGCUCAGUAAGAGCUUGCUCUUACGUGUGUCGAGUGGCGGACGGGGGCGGAAUACAUCGGAUUCUACUUUUUCGUGGGGGAUAACGUCGGGAAACUUACUCUAAUCACGCAUUCGUCCUACGUGUGAAAGCAGGGGUUCUUCGGACCUUUCGCGAGUGAAUGAGCCUAUGUCGGAUUAGCUAGUUGGCGGGGUAAAGGCCAACCAAGGCGACGAUCCGUAGCUGGUAUGAGAGGAUGAUCAGACAGACUGGAUCUGAGAAACGGUACAGACUCCUACGGUAGGCAGCAGUGGGGAAUAUUGGGCGAUGGGCGCAAGCCUGAUCCUGCAAUACCGCGUGGGUGAUGAAGGCCUUCGGCUGGGUAAGUGAUUUUGUUGGGAAAGAAAAGCAGCAGGUUUAUACCGCAUUGUUAUGACGGUACCCAAAGAAUAAGCACCGGCUAACUUCGUG
Molecule: ribosomal RNA, 492 nt
Filed under: uncultured bacterium
Lineage: Bacteria
Description: partial 16S ribosomal RNA
Rfam family: Bacterial small subunit ribosomal RNA
Source: RNAcentral